AAGAAGAUUUGCGCCUAUUCCCAGGUCCGUUCACAUUCGGAUUUUAUUGUGAAUAUUAAAUAUGAUUCGUCUGUGAUGGUCUUGUGGGUCGGUCCGAUCAACAA
Molecule: non-coding RNA, 104 nt
Organism: Tribolium castaneum (red flour beetle)
Lineage: Eukaryota; Metazoa; Arthropoda; Insecta; Coleoptera; Tenebrionidae
Source: RefSeq, marked provisional